Small nuclear RNA from Homo sapiens (human), 107 nucleotides. NCBI's taxonomy places the organism in Eukaryota, Metazoa, Chordata, Mammalia, Primates, Hominidae. The record is from Ensembl.
GUGCUCUCUUUGCCAGCACAUAUACUGAAAUUGAAAUGACACAGAGGAGAUUAGCAUGGCCCCUGUGCAAGGAUGACAUGCAAAUUUGUGAAGCCUUCCAUAUAAUA